CGGCAAUUUAGGAUUUAUUUUAUACUUUUAUGAUAAAUAACAAGUGUAGAUUGUAUCGUUUUUGCAGGGUCCUUAGGGAGGGUUCUAAAUCCAGUUGCAUGCUUCCAAAAUUCCCCUUAGAGUGAAUUACUCACUCUACUCUCUUGUCAGCUUUUGUCCACAGAAAAGCUUGUUCCUCAAGGAGUCAGCCCUGAGAUGCACUUCCCCUCAGGGGUACCCUGAGAGGCAUCCUGGCUCAAGGGGAGAUUGAGGGUGCAGUCCACUGUGGUCCCUGGAAAGCUCAAAGGGCUUAGGACUACUUAGUUGCUACUAAGCAACUAGUUGCUUAGGACUACCAUUCAUAGGACUGUGAGACAACUGUUAAUACUUUUCCAUCCUGGCUACUGUUCAGAUAAGGCAAUUUUGGUAUUUUUCAUCAAUUCUGCUAUUCCCAUACCUUCCAGAAUGUACAGUUGUGGUACUCCCCAGAUCAGGCUACUGUCCAGGCUGCAGGUUUGGAGAUGCAAUCAGGGAGUGCCUGCUCAUACUCACCUGUUAUGGACAUUGUCCAUUGACAAUGGAGGACUGAUGUAACAUUAAUCAAUCUUGAACCAUAGCUGACUUGGGGGAAAGGCUACCCCACCACAGAGAUCAAGGGUUACAGCCUGCUGUGAUCCCUGGAGAGCUCAAAUUGGCUUUUCUUCAGUUGCUACAAGUUCAGGUCAUUGGCUCAUAGUCAAACUCAGGUUCCUUACCAUGUUCUGGAACUCUGAUGUGCAAGAAGCAGUCCCAUCAAGGCCUACUGUGGUUUAUAAGCCUGAGCAAGACUUAGAUCAAGUGCGGGAGUAUAGUGAACCCAUCACAGAGCCAAUGCACUUCAGUUUUGAAGAUGAGAAAAUCCGUUGGCAGUCUUGACAGAAAGAGGAAACAUGCAGAGCAGAAGCAUUGCUUGCUCCUCGUUCAUCCAAGCACCAAGCAGUAUCAGACCAACAGGUAGUCACAAUAAUGUUUGAUGCAUGAUGGAGAGUACCACAGGAUUUACAACUGUUACCAGAGCUGAACUCAGUACUCCAGGUGGGGUCUCUCAAGAGCAGAGUAGAGGGGAGAAUGAAGGUGAAGUCUGGAACAAAGAGCUUUCAAUAGAGAAAAAGAGAAGCCUGUUAACUGCAGACUUGUGAGCACUGAGUGCUGGAGCCUGGCUGAAGACUCUUCAGGCACCUGAGACUCCUGGGUCAAGGCUGGAAGCCCCUCUAGAAGAGGAGAAUAUGGAGGUGGAUCAGUUUGAUAUUUUGGUUUAAACAGGUCUAUCAUUCCUAGAGGAAUAAUGUACUGUGUAUGUCAGCUUUACUCCAGGCUUAACAGAGAAAAUACAAAUGUGAUUUGAAUGAAAGAGAAGAAUAAG
This 1381-nucleotide long non-coding RNA is filed under the name Anser brachyrhynchus (Pink-footed goose). RNAcentral's name for it is "lncRNA (ENSABRG00000016974.1)". The record is from RNAcentral. Lineage: Eukaryota; Metazoa; Chordata; Aves; Anseriformes; Anatidae.